UUACGGCCACAUCACAUUGAGACAUUGGUUUCCGUACGAUCUCCGAAGUUAAGCAAAAUCGAACCUGGUCGUCAGUACCUACGUGGGUGACAGUUUGGGAAUACCAGGUGCUGUAAG
This is a non-coding RNA of Acanthosepion pharaonis, 117 nucleotides long. The record is from the annotation of a GenBank genome assembly. Lineage: Eukaryota; Metazoa; Mollusca; Cephalopoda; Sepiida; Sepiidae.